Molecule: ribosomal RNA, 834 nt
Filed under: uncultured Actinomycetes bacterium
Lineage: Bacteria; Bacillati; Actinomycetota; Actinomycetes
Description: bacterial SSU rRNA
Rfam family: Bacterial small subunit ribosomal RNA
Source: RNAcentral
GAUGAAGCCUUUCGGGGUGGAUUAGUGGCGAACGGGUGAGUAACACGUGGGCAAUCUGCCCUGUACUUUGGGAUAAGCCUUGGAAACGGGGUCUAAUACCGGAUAUCACCAUUGAUCGCAUGGUCUUUGGUUGAAAGUUCUGGCGGUACAGGAUGAGCCCGCGGCCUAUCAGCUUGUUGGUGGGGUAAUGGCCUACCAAGGCGACGACGGGUAGCCGGCCUGAGAGGGUGACCGGCCACACUGGGACUGAGACACGGCCCAGACUCCUACGGGAGGCAGCAGUGGGGAAUAUUGCACAAUGGGCGAAAGCCUGAUGCAGCGACGCCGCGUGAGGGAUGACGGCCUUCGGGUUGUAAACCUCUUUCGCCAGGGACGAAGCGCAAGUGACGGUACCUGGAUAAGAAGCACCGGCUAACUACGUGCCAGCAGCCGCGGUAAUACGUAGGGUGCAAGCGUUGUCCGGAAUUAUUGGGCGUAAAGAGCUCGUAGGCGGUUUGUCACGUCGGCUGUGAAAUCUGGAGGCUUAACCUUCAGCGUGCAGUCGAUACGGGCAGACUUGAGUUCGGUAGGGGAGACUGGAAUUCCUGGUGUAGCGGUGAAAUGCGCAGAUAUCAGGAGGAACACCGGUGGCGAAGGCGGGUCUCUGGGCCGAUACUGACGCUGAGGAGCGAAAGCGUGGGGAGCGAACAGGAUUAGAUACCCUGGUAGUCCACGCUGUAAACGUUGGGCGCUAGGUGUGGGCGACAUCCACGUUGUCCGUGCCGUAGCUAACGCAUUAAGCGCCCCGCCUGGGGAGUACGGCCGCAAGGCUAAAACUCAAAUGAAUUGACGGGG